This is a non-coding RNA of Gymnopus androsaceus JB14, 103 nucleotides long. The record is from the annotation of a GenBank genome assembly. NCBI's taxonomy places the organism in Eukaryota, Fungi, Basidiomycota, Agaricomycetes, Agaricales, Omphalotaceae.
GGGCACAUGGUGUAGUUGGUUAUCACAUCCGCUUAGCAUUUCUAGCUUCGUGUGUUGUGUUAUGUUGUGCGGGGGGUGCUGGGUUCAAUUCCCAGUGUGUCCA